CUGUAAUGACAGUUUCAAGGCAGUUCUUUACAGUUUCUAGCAAGCUCCCCGUUUUAUCUGCCCACGUCUGGUAACCUCCGACCUGUCUCCUUUUUUUCCUCCUCACGUCGCAGUAGCCUUCAUAUACCCUUCCUCUUGUAUACAUCUGAUAUAUACGCAGACAAAUAACAUAGCUUUCAUCAAUCGCUAUCUCAAACCUUCAUUCAAUCAGAACCUGAUGUUUUACACCCCACUGAUGUACCAUUGUCGCUGAAAUCUUCAAAACCAAGUUCAUCUUUCACGUAACACUAAUGCUUCUUCAAAUUCAUCUUGAUUUUCACUUAUGUGGCUUUGCGGAUAGUGAGUUCAUCACGUAGCAGUUAAUUGAAAAUCGAAACCCUCAAGUUUUCAGAACCGAUGUUGAAGAUUUAGAGACGACUCUGUUGGAAAUACCCAGAUCGGUGAGAAGCCAUUUUUUUGUUGUCUUCUUUUAUUCAGGUAUUAUACGAUUCUUCAAGACUAAGAAGUUCAUUCGUUCGUUCAGGUUGUUGCGUAAUGCAUAUGGAUGGGGGUUCUUGCAUAAUGGUGUGGUGAGAUUACCCUGAGACGAAGAUCUGCUGAAUCGCGUUCCACUGCUAAUCCUACCACUCAAAGAGAAAGUUGUUCUGGUGUUCUUGAUAUAACAAUCAUCACUCCUUAUGAAACUCAAGUUAUACUCAAGGUACUCCCCGUCACAAGAAACCAUCACCACCUAUUGAUGAUUCAGAAUUCGAUGACUGGCUUCUACACUUUGUUGUUCUCUAAGGACCAUUUGUUUUAUUGUAUUUGAUGUCCACAGGCCUUGAAGAUAGUAGGAGUGUAGGACGCCAUUAUUUAAUUGUUCAUGGAAUUUAUGUAGGUCUAAAGAAGUCAUGUAUUUUAACAUCUAAGUUCUGUACUAGCAUGCUGGAGUGAUAAGAGAAGCCGCUUGAAAGUGAAUAAGGGUGAGAAAUUCUGAAUUGUUUAUUUGACAAGGCCUGUGGAGACAUAUAACAUGUUGGGGUUGGGGCUUUGUUUAGAUGGAUGCAGAAACUGCACGAAGAUGGGUCAACUCUGUCCGUUUUGAGUUUUGACCCAUGCUUUAUAAAGUUAAUAAGGUACUUCAUCAUGCAAAAGGGGACUGUUAGCUAAAUUAUAUGAUGUAAAAAAGUUUAAUCAUGUUGAAAUGAAGGAAUUUUUUUUGUUGAAAGUAAAGUCCAGGGACUUUGUUGUUAUGUUUAAAAGAAUAAGGGAAUCAAUCAUGCAAAAAUAAAGUCCAUGAACAUUACUCCAAGUUUAGUUACUUACAGUUUA
This is a long non-coding RNA of Helianthus annuus (common sunflower), 1311 nucleotides long. RefSeq lists it as uncharacterized. The record is from RefSeq and is a predicted model, not a curated record. Lineage: Eukaryota; Viridiplantae; Streptophyta; Magnoliopsida; Asterales; Asteraceae. The transcript has 6 exons.